UGGGGAAUAUUGGACAAUGGGGGCAACCCUGAUCCAGCCAUGCCGCGUGAGUGAUGAAGGCCUUCGGGUUGUAAAGCUCUUUUGGCGGGGACGAUGAUGACGGUACCCGCAGAAUAAGCCCCGGCUAACUUCGUGUCAGCAGCCGCGGUAAGACGAAGGGGGCAAGCGUUGUUCGGAAUUACUGGGCGUAAAGGGCGCGUAGGCGGUUUGCUUAGUCAGGCGUGAAAGCCCUGGGCUUAACCUGGGAUGUGCGCUUGAUACUGGCAGGCUUGAGUGUGGGAGAGGUUGGUGGAAUUCCCAGUGUAGAGGUGAAAUUCGUAGAUAUUGGGAAGAACACCGGUGGCGAAGGCGACUUUCUGGCUCGACCCUGACGCUAAAGCGCGAAAGCGUGGGGAGCAAACA
RNAcentral lists this ribosomal RNA (402 nucleotides) under uncultured bacterium. RNAcentral's name for it is "bacterial SSU rRNA". It matches the Rfam family "Bacterial small subunit ribosomal RNA", at positions 355 to 774 of the family's 1533-position model. The record is from RNAcentral.